Molecule: transfer RNA, 70 nt
Filed under: Dipodomys ordii (Ord's kangaroo rat)
Lineage: Eukaryota; Metazoa; Chordata; Mammalia; Rodentia; Heteromyidae
Rfam family: tRNA
About the family: Transfer RNA (tRNA) molecules are approximately 80 nucleotides in length.
Source: Rfam by way of RNAcentral
GGGAGUGUGGUUUAGUGAUAGAAUGCUUGCCUAGCAUGCAUGAAGCCCUGGGUUCGAUUCCUCAGUACCA